This 867-nucleotide ribosomal RNA is filed under the name uncultured bacterium. RNAcentral's name for it is "bacterial SSU rRNA". It matches the Rfam family "Bacterial small subunit ribosomal RNA", at positions 8 to 796 of the family's 1533-position model. The record is from RNAcentral.
AGAGUUUGAUCAUGGCUCAGGAUGAACGCUGGCGGCGUGCUUAAUACAUGCAAGUCGAGCGCCCUUGACAGCGCACUUCUCAACUUCGUUUGAGACAGGUCCUGACAAAUUUUCGAAGAAAAUUUGUGAGAUCUAAAACGAAGGACUGAAGGUCUGGCAACAGAUCUCAAACUAAUCAGAAGGAGUGCGAUGUCAAGGGAGCGGCGGACGGCUGAGUAACGCGUAGGAACGUACCCCAGAGUGAGGAAUAAGCCCGGGAAACCGGGUCUAAUGCCGCAUAAUAUCUUCGGAUUAAAGCUUCGGCGCUUUGGGAGCGGCCUGCGUAUGAUUAGCUUGUUGGUGAGGUAAUGGCUCACCAAGGCGACGAUCAUUAGCUGGUCUGAGAGGAUGACCAGCCAGACUGGAACUGAGACACGGUCCAGACUCCUACGGGAGGCAGCAGUAGGGAAUUUUCCGCAAUGGGCGAAAGCCUGACGGAGCAACGCCGCGUGCAGGAGGAAGGCCUUCGGGUUGUAAACUGCUUUUAUUGGUGACGAUUUUGACGGUAGCCAAUGAAUAAGGACCUGCUAACUACGUGCCAGCAGCCGCGGUCAUACGUAGGGUCCAAGCGUUAUCCGGAAUUACUGGGCGUAAAGAGUUGCGUAGGUGGCAUAGUAAGCAGAUAGUGAAAGCGUGAGGCUCAACCUCAUACCCAUUAUCUGAACUGCUAAGCUUGAGUAUAAGAGAGGUAGCUGGAAUUUCUAGUGUAGGAGUGAAAUCCGUAGAUAUUAGAAGGAACACCGAUGGCGUAGGCAGGUUACUGGCUUAUUACUGACACUAAGGCACGAAAGCGUGGGGAGCGAACGGGAUUAGAUACCCUAGUAGUCC